This 443-nucleotide ribosomal RNA is filed under the name uncultured bacterium. RNAcentral's name for it is "partial 16S ribosomal RNA". It matches the Rfam family "Bacterial small subunit ribosomal RNA", at positions 338 to 795 of the family's 1533-position model. The record is from RNAcentral.
CCUACGGGAGGCAGCAGUGGGGAAUAUUGGGCAAUGGAGGCAACUCUGACCCAGCAACGCCGCGUGAAUGAUGAAGGUCUUCGGAUUGUAAAGUUCUGUGAUGGGGGAUGAACACAAUGACGGUACCCCAAUAGCAAGCCACGGCUAACUACGUGCCAGCAGCCGCGGUAAUACGUAGGUGGCAAGCGUUAUCCGGAUUUACUGGGUGUAAAGGGAGCGUAGACGGUGCACCAAGUCUGGAGUGAAAUGCCGCAGCUUAACUGCGGAACUGCUUUGGAAACUGGCGAACUAGAGUGCGGGAGGGGUAAGCGGAAUUCCUAGUGUAGCGGUGAAAUGCGUAGAUAUUAGGAGGAACACCGGUGGCGAAGGCGGCUUACUGGACCGUAACUGACGUUGAGGCUCGAAAGCGUGGGGAGCAAACAGGAUUAGAUACCCGAGUAGUC